Molecule: ribosomal RNA, 28 nt
Filed under: Pythium insidiosum
Lineage: Eukaryota; Oomycota; Peronosporomycetes; Pythiales; Pythiaceae
Description: partial large subunit ribosomal RNA
Source: RNAcentral
UUGGACUAUAUCAGCAAGUCCCAUCUUU